Molecule: long non-coding RNA, 1383 nt
Organism: Pieris brassicae (large cabbage white)
Lineage: Eukaryota; Metazoa; Arthropoda; Insecta; Lepidoptera; Pieridae
Exons: 2
Source: RefSeq, a predicted model, not a curated record
AAAGCCUUCCUGAAUCUAUUGUCAAUAAAAUUGUUUGUACAAUGCGAUGAAUUUAUGUCAGAUAUUUUAGGUGCAUUUAUUUAUAUUGUGUAAAUACAUAACACAGUUUUAAAUAUUCCCAGACUAAGGAAUGUUCAUAUCUCAUAUUAAAACGGAAUGCUCUGAAGCUUGAAUGCUUAUUUGAAGUAAUAUAUGCGGCUGAAUUCUGUCAUCGGAUGUCGAGAUAGAAUGCAAAAUUCAAUCCUGUCCACGUCGACGCCUGGCGCAUUUUAAGAUACUAUCCUCGCCGCGUACCUCCUUGUGGUACCAGCUGUCAGUACAGGUGUUUCAGAACCAAUAUGAUUUAGGAGCAUUUAUAAAAAGAGUGUACCAUUCCCUGACCGGCAACACACCCGCUAGCCACUAACGUUGCAGUGUUCGUAGGCAGCGGUUAUUAUUUUAUUAAAGGAGACCUGAUAGUUUGCCAUACAGGAGUCGCAUAAAAAGAAUUGGUCUUCUGAGUUGAAUACAACAGUAUAUGCUUCCUCAUAAGCUAGUGGCAAAAAGAAACUAUAUUUUUAAGCAUUUGAAAUCGUUUAGCAAUUAAAAAGCUUGUUUGUCACUUAAAAGUCGUUAUCAGCUAAAGCGUGAAAUAACUGAUACAUAAGUGAAUUCAGAGGCGAACUCUUCUUUGAUGGAAAUAAAUGUCACUGUUUUUGAUUAUUUUAAUAAGGCUUUAUAUGGAGACUAUUGUUCAUUAUUUAGUAUAUUUUUAGUGAUUGUAAUUUAAAUUCAAGGAUGAUAUUAAUUAAUAUGAUGGUUUGGUGAAUAAUUUUUCAAUUAAUUACUAUUAUUUAUUCAAUUUUUUUGAGUUUUUAGUUGUUUGCAAUUUGAUCCUGUGUCGAUUUUACUCGAAAUAGAGAAAGUUUCGUUCAAUAGGUUCUAUAAAAUAAAUAUGUUCAUUUAACCAACAAGUUUAAGAGGCGCUGUCUGACAUUUUAAUAUGGCCUAAUAAUCAGAAAGAGUAAAAAACCAUAGAGUGGACCGGUGGGCUUUGGCAUUACACUAGAUUGAUGCUGGGCCCCUCCCCCUCCCUUCCUUUGAGUCCCUGAUCCCUCAAUGAUGCCUUUGUUUUAACCAUGUUAUUUGAUUGUAAUCAUUAUAUUGUCUUCGUCAAGCGGUAACAUACUAAUAAUACCUUGUAACAUUCUUGUACGUAUUUGGAAACGAAUACCUGUUGGUAUUCGUUGUUAUUGUAAGAUUUUUGUAUAGCGAAAUUGUUUAUGCACGACAUCUCGUGGUAGCUGUUGAUACUUUGAUAACUCGUUAUUUUUCAACGUUAUUCAGAACCGGAGAAACUACAAUUCAAUGUGUAUUUUUUUAAUACAUUGUUAUUAUGUUGUU